This 1211-nucleotide long non-coding RNA is filed under the name Marmota monax (woodchuck). The record is from RNAcentral. Lineage: Eukaryota; Metazoa; Chordata; Mammalia; Rodentia; Sciuridae.
CCAAAUCCUUUCAGAAUAAUGCAAUGGUAUGAAUAUGAAUUUUUAAUGCAGUGACAUCAAUGUCAGGUCGUGGACACAAUGAAACACAGGAGCAGCGGAGCCCCUUGUCUGUUGCUGAGGGUUAUGCAGUNUCCCCAUCUCAGAAAGAAAGAAGCCAAGGCUCAGAGCAGCCAGGGCCUUGCCUGAAGUCACCCCCAGCUCCUGCAGCAGGAGUUGAGGCCCCAUGGGCUGGAGAGGGCACCCACGCCUCUCCAGCAGCCGGCCCCUCUGGCCACAGAGGACAAGAGCCUGGUGGGUCUGUGGGACCCACCACUGCAGGUGCAGGUGCAGCCUAGGGGAGGGGAAGAGGCUGAAACACGCUCAGCUCAGGCCCUGGGGACCUCCGCAGCACAAUGUGCCUCUCUAAAGCCCUGAGGUUUCGGAGCCCAAGGCUGCUACAUGAACACUGUUAUGCCUUGGAAGGGCUUCCAUAGCCUGAGGCUCCCAGCAUCCACUAGUGGAAUGGAUCACAAAGAAGGCAGCACCAGACUGACGAGCAGGAACACUAAUUCCAAGAGCACAGCAAGAGGAGACUAGAGCCACCACCCACUGCCAAGGAAACCACCAUGUGGGCAGAGGAAGGGAGGGGUCAGCUCGUCCAAAAGCGGGCAGAGCCACUGCGCAGGCUCCCUCCCAGCCCCUGAGUGCUCUGUGCCUAGUGGAGGGGGUUAGAGGCCCCAGUCCUCACCUCCUCCAGGAGGGACAGGGCCACUGCGCAGGCUCCCUCCCAGCCCCUGAGCUCCACUCAGUUGGAGCGGGUAGAAAGGGUAGAAUGGCCUCUACUCCACAGUCCUCCUGAUGAAAAAUGCCUUUACACUAAGUUUUGCAGUGAAAAGUAUGCAAAAUGUUUUUUAACAACUUUGAUUUUGGGCAUAAGAUGACAGAGAUCCAAGGAGCUCAAUUAGUUUAUCCUCGGUAUAAGGACAUGGGGAAGGGACAACAGGAGAGCACAAGAGCAAGGAAAGGGCCCAGCCCCAGGGCCGAGGUUGAGGACCACCUUCGUGGGUGGGUCUGCGUCUCCUUCUAUGGAGGCCUAGCAGGCAGCGCCUGCCUCCUGUGCUCCCCUUCAGGACUGGGAAUUUAGACCACAUGUGACUGUGCCUUGCACUCAUUCCUGAUUCCUGUUAAAUAGUUGGCCUCUGUCUAGUGAUGGCCCAGGUGCUCUCACCCCU